Molecule: ribosomal RNA, 1023 nt
Filed under: Staphylococcus aureus
Lineage: Bacteria; Bacillati; Bacillota; Bacilli; Caryophanales; Staphylococcaceae
Also listed under: 508 other names
Description: bacterial SSU rRNA
Rfam family: Bacterial small subunit ribosomal RNA
Source: RNAcentral
AGAGUUUGAUCCUGGCUCAGGAUGAACGCUGGCGGCGUGCCUAAUACAUGCAAGUCGAGCGAACGGACGAGAAGCUUGCUUCUCUGAUGUUAGCGGCGGACGGGUGAGUAACACGUGGAUAACCUACCUAUAAGACUGGGAUAACUUCGGGAAACCGGAGCUAAUACCGGAUAAUAUUUUGAACCGCAUGGUUCAAAAGUGAAAGACGGUCUUGCUGUCACUUAUAGAUGGAUCCGCGCUGCAUUAGCUAGUUGGUAAGGUAACGGCUUACCAAGGCAACGAUGCAUAGCCGACCUGAGAGGGUGAUCGGCCACACUGGAACUGAGACACGGUCCAGACUCCUACGGGAGGCAGCAGUAGGGAAUCUUCCGCAAUGGGCGAAAGCCUGACGGAGCAACGCCGCGUGAGUGAUGAAGGUCUUCGGAUCGUAAAACUCUGUUAUUAGGGAAGAACAUAUGUGUAAGUAACUGUGCACAUCUUGACGGUACCUAAUCAGAAAGCCACGGCUAACUACGUGCCAGCAGCCGCGGUAAUACGUAGGUGGCAAGCGUUAUCCGGAAUUAUUGGGCGUAAAGCGCGCGUAGGCGGUUUUUUAAGUCUGAUGUGAAAGCCCACGGCUCAACCGUGGAGGGUCAUUGGAAACUGGAAAACUUGAGUGCAGAAGAGGAAAGUGGAAUUCCAUGUGUAGCGGUGAAAUGCGCAGAGAUAUGGAGGAACACCAGUGGCGAAGGCGACUUUCUGGUCUGUAACUGACGCUGAUGUGCGAAAGCGUGGGGAUCAAACAGGAUUAGAUACCCUGGUAGUCCACGCCGUAAACGAUGAGUGCUAAGUGUUAGGGGGUUUCCGCCCCUUAGUGCUGCAGCUAACGCAUUAAGCACUCCGCCUGGGGAGUACGACCGCAAGGUUGAAACUCAAAGGAAUUGACGGGGACCCGCACAAGCGGUGGAGCAUGUGGUUUAAUUCGAAGCAACGCGAAGAACCUUACCAAAUCUUGACAUCCUUUGACAACUCUAGAGAUAGAGC